This is a long non-coding RNA of Pipra filicauda (Wire-tailed manakin), 1814 nucleotides long. RefSeq lists it as uncharacterized. The transcript is spliced from 2 exons. The record is from RefSeq and is a predicted model, not a curated record. Lineage: Eukaryota; Metazoa; Chordata; Aves; Passeriformes; Pipridae.
AGCCUCGGGGCAUGUGGAUGUAGGUGAUGCUGAUUUCUUUUGCUUCUCAUUUUAGAUGACUCUUGUUCCAGUUGGGAGGUUGAUCACCUUAGCAAGUUCCAUCUGAACUUCAUUUGGGUUUGCACGAGAGUAUCACGUUGGUUUUAGAUUUUGACAAGACUUCUGCUUUUGAUGCUUAUCCUUACCAGAGAGUGAGAAGACCUUUUUACUGUCACAGCUCUUUUCAAAAGGCAUGGGAAAGCAUCUGGAAAGCCAGAUUUUAACAGUGGGCAAGUUAUAAAUAGUAACAUACAGAAUCACACUCCGAACGGAAAUUAUUUGAUUUUUUUCAUUACAGCAUUAUAUUACGUUGACUCUGGUUUCCAUGUACUAGAAGCAUGUAUCAUAUCCUUAGGUUCCUAGACACAGAGAUCAAUUAACAUAUCUCAAGGGUAAUUUUUACAGUCUAACUGCACCUGGCUAACUGAUAGCACCUACAGAUAUGGACAGAACAGAGCACCAGAAUUUAGGUAUCUUAAAGGAAUUAUUUCCUGUCAGAUGAUGAAGAUGAAAUAAUGGAAAGUAUUCUCUUUUUGUCCAGUCUGUUGGGUUUGAUAUUUUUAUAACUCUUAACCCAGACUAAAUCUUCAACCAUUUUGAAUGUGAAAAAGAAUAGAAUUUCUGUCUUUUAUAAGGUACACAUUCAUUAAAAAGGAAACUAGGAAACCAUCUUUAGAGUAAUUCCUUCUAUAAGAAAGAGUCAACACUCCCAACUUGUUCCCUCCACCCCCACAAGCUACAGCUUAAAAACACAAUUCUAUAAUUAAAGUGAAAAUAAAUUUUACUUUGUCUUAAUUGAUGUCAUAUUGACAGGUAAUUGCAAUUGUUUUUGUUUGUGUACCUAGUACAUUGUGCUCAUGUUCAGUGCUGUAAAAGGAAAAACAGUAAAAAACUGUAUUCUGCAGAGUUGAAAGUAGUUCAUUUCAAGGAAAAUAAUGAAUUUUGUCAAAUUGACAGUUAUGACUAAAUGUGCCCAAGCACAAGACACCUUGAGUAAAGCAGUAUGGUUGUAAACUACUCAAUUUUCUUCCCAAAGCAAUUUGAGAAAAAGUGUCUUCAGAAUCUACCAUGUAGCACGUGGGUAAAGGAAGAACAUACCGACAACUUACUAUGAAUGUGUCUCAUCAUUCCAUACUUUGGCACAUCUUUUCUUUGUUCCCUGUACUAAUAUUGUGACUGAAUAUGUGGAAAUAUAUCUUACCAUAUCAGUAUUUACUUGGUGUUAACCGUGUUGCACAAUGGCUUUAUAAAAUAGGGAACUGAGAAGGCUUUGAAAAGAAUCAUUGUUAAGUUUAAUGCUCUGUUUGCAGGUCAAGAAUGAAAGUAGAAUUUAACAUUUUGUUUAUUGCUUUUGUAUUGCGUAUCGUUAAGGCUACUUGAUGUGUUUGGCCAGCCUGGUUAUCAUUCCCAUAAUUAAAAGAGUUCCAAAGUGCAGGAAUACUUCUAGGAAAACAAGAGAAUUAGAUCAGUAGAGAAGAUUUGAUUUAUGAACUAUUGUCCCUCUUAUAUUGGAUGUCUUAAUUUAGGAAGAUCCAGAUACAUAGGGAUUUUGUAACAAGAGCUUUAAAUUCAGGUGCACUGUGGAUUUAAUUUCACAAAGCAGUUUGCUGCUCUUCUAAUGUCUUUAUAGUUGAGGUAGUCUGUUUGUAGAGUCUAGUAAGUGAUUCAACUGAACUUAAUGUGCGUGUCACAUGUGAUGGUAUGACCAAUUUAAAAGUCUUUGGAAAGUUCUGUAUUUCUUCAUUAGAGAAUAUAAAGUUAUUUGUCACCUCUGA